UAUCGGAACGUGCCCUGGAGUGGGGGAUAACUAGUCGAAAGACUAGCUAAUACCGCAUACGAUCUACGGAUGAAAGUGGGGGAUCGCAAGACCUCAUGCUCGUGGAGCGGCCGAUAUCUGAUUAGCUAGUUGGUGGGGUAAAAGCCUACCAAGGCGACGAUCAGUAGCUGGUCUGAGAGGACGACCAGCCACACUGGGACUGAGACACGGCCCAG
This 215-nucleotide ribosomal RNA is filed under the name uncultured bacterium. RNAcentral's name for it is "partial 16S ribosomal RNA". It matches the Rfam family "Bacterial small subunit ribosomal RNA", at positions 116 to 334 of the family's 1533-position model. The record is from RNAcentral.